GUGUUUGCCUCAGCAGCACAUGUACUGUAAAAACUAUAAUGAUAUAGAGAAGAUUAGCACAACCCCUAUGCAAGAUGACACACAAAUUCAUGAAGUAGUCCAUAUUUUU
Molecule: small nuclear RNA, 109 nt
Organism: Talpa occidentalis (Iberian mole)
Lineage: Eukaryota; Metazoa; Chordata; Mammalia; Eulipotyphla; Talpidae
Source: RefSeq, a predicted model, not a curated record